AUACGGAGGGUGCAAGCGUUAAUCGGAAUUACUGGGCGUAAAGCGUACGUAGGCGGUCCGUUAAGUUAGAUGUGAAAGCCCCGGGCUUAACCUGGGAACUGCAUUGAAAACUGGCGGACUAGAGUUGAGUAGAGGGGAGUGGAAUUUCAGGUGUAGCGGUGAAAUGCGUAGAGAUCUGAAGGAACACCAGUGGCGAAGGCGACUCCCUGGACUCGAACUGACGCUGAGGUGCGAAAGCGUGGGUAGCAAACGGGAUUAGAUACCCCAGUAGUCC
This 274-nucleotide ribosomal RNA is filed under the name uncultured bacterium. RNAcentral's name for it is "partial 16S ribosomal RNA". It matches the Rfam family "Bacterial small subunit ribosomal RNA", at positions 523 to 796 of the family's 1533-position model. The record is from RNAcentral.